GUGAGGAAUAUUGGACAAUGGGCGCAAGCCUGAUCCAGCCAUGCCGCGUGCAGGAAGACGCAUCUAUGGUGUGUAAACUGCUUUUGUACGGGAAGAAACACUCCCUCGUGAGGGAGCUUGACGGUACCGUAAGAAUAAGGAUCGGCUAACUCCGUGCCAGCAGCCGCGGUAAUACGGAGGAUCCAAGCGUUAUCCGGAAUCAUUGGGUUUAAAGGGUCCGUAGGCGGUUUAAUAAGUCAGUGGUGAAAGCCCAUCGCUCAACGAUGGAACGGCCAUUGAUACUGUUAGACUUGAAUUACAAGGAAGUAACUAGAAUAUGUAGUGUAGCGGUGAAAUGCUUAGAUAUUACAUUGAAUACCAAUUGCGAAGGCAGGUUACUACUUGUGGAUUGACGCUGAUGGACGAAAGCGUGGGGAGCGAACAGGAUUAGAUACCCGUGUAGUCC
Molecule: ribosomal RNA, 445 nt
Filed under: uncultured bacterium
Lineage: Bacteria
Description: partial 16S ribosomal RNA
Rfam family: Bacterial small subunit ribosomal RNA
Source: RNAcentral